RNAcentral lists this transfer RNA (47 nucleotides) under Forbesichthys agassizii (spring cavefish). RNAcentral describes it as "partial tRNA-Val". The record is from RNAcentral. Lineage: Eukaryota; Metazoa; Chordata; Actinopteri; Percopsiformes; Amblyopsidae.
CAUCUCCCUUACACUGAGAAGACGUCUGUGCAAACCAGACCUGUCUG